RNAcentral lists this ribosomal RNA (454 nucleotides) under uncultured bacterium. RNAcentral's name for it is "bacterial SSU rRNA". It matches the Rfam family "Bacterial small subunit ribosomal RNA", at positions 28 to 493 of the family's 1533-position model. The record is from RNAcentral.
GACGAACGCUGGCGGCGCGCCUAACACAUGCAAGUCGAACGGAGCUGAGAGGAGCUUGCUUUUCUUAGCUUAGUGGCGAACGGGUGAGUAACGCGUGAGUAACCUGCCCUGGAGUGGGGGACAACAGUUGGAAACGACUGCUAAUACCGCAUAAGCCCACGGCCCGGCAUCGGGCUGCGGGAAAAGGAUUUAUUCGCUUCAGGAUGGACUCGCGUCCAAUUAGCUAGUUGGUGAGGUAACGGCCCACCAAGGCGACGAUUGGUAGCCGGACUGAGAGGUUGAACGGCCACAUUGGGACUGAGACACGGCCCAGACUCCUACGGGAGGCAGCAGUGGGGGAUAUUGCACAAUGGGGGAAACCCUGAUGCAGCGACGCCGCGUGGAGGAAGAAGGUUUUCGGAUUGUAAACUCCUGUCGUUAGGGACGAUAAUGACGGUACCUAACAAGAAAGCAC